UACGGAGGGGGCGAGCGUUGUCCGAAGUUACUGGGCGUAAAGCGCGCGUAGGCGGGUUGGUAAGUCCGCUGUGAAAGCCCGGAGCUCAACUCCGGAGGGUCGGUGGAUACUGCCAGUCUUGAAGGUGCUAGGGGGAGAUGGAAUUACCGGUGUAGCGGUGAAAUGCGUAGAGAUCGGUAGGAACACCAGUGGCGAAGGCGGUCUCCUGGGGCAUUCUUGACGCUGAGGCGCGAAAGCUGGGGGAGCAAACAGG
Molecule: ribosomal RNA, 253 nt
Filed under: uncultured bacterium
Lineage: Bacteria
Description: partial 16S ribosomal RNA
Rfam family: Bacterial small subunit ribosomal RNA
Source: RNAcentral